This 503-nucleotide ribosomal RNA is filed under the name uncultured bacterium. RNAcentral's name for it is "bacterial SSU rRNA". It matches the Rfam family "Bacterial small subunit ribosomal RNA", at positions 30 to 524 of the family's 1533-position model. The record is from RNAcentral.
UGACCGCUGGCGGUAUGCUUAACACAUGCAAGUCGAACGGUAACGAUGGGAGCUUGCUCCCAGGCGACGAGUGGCGGACGGGUGAGUAACGCGUGGGAAUCUGCCCAGAAGUUGGGGAUAGCCCGGGGAAACCCGGAUUAAUACCGAAUAUGUUCUACGGAACAAAGGAUGCCUCUGUAUAUGCAUUCGCUUCUGGAUGAGCCCGCGUUGGAUUAGCUAGAUGGUGAGGUAAAGGCUCACCAUGGCGACGAUCCAUAGCUGGUCUGAGAGGAUGAUCAGCCACACUGGGACUGAGACACGGCCCAGACUCCUACGGGAGGCAGCAGUGGGGAAUAUUGGACAAUGGGCGCAAGCCUGAUCCAGCAAUACCGCGUGUGUGAAGAAGGCCUGCGGGUUGUAAAGCACUUUCAAUAGUGAAGAAAAAGCCAAUUCUAACAGGAUUGGAAAUUGACAUUAGCUAUAGAAGAAGCACCGGCUAACUCCGUGCCAGCAGCCGCGGUAAU